RNAcentral lists this long non-coding RNA (991 nucleotides) under Homo sapiens (human). RNAcentral's name for it is "HSALNT0278608". The record is from RNAcentral. Lineage: Eukaryota; Metazoa; Chordata; Mammalia; Primates; Hominidae.
UGAAACACGUUAGCGAUGUUUAUUUACUAGACUAGUGCCUGGCUCAGAGCAUGGGCUCUGUAGACACUGGUAGAAUACAUGCACGGUGCCUUGCUCACUUCAUUUAUUUAUGAUCUUCCUCCCUCCCUGGUCUGUGGGCCCUGCGAGAGCAGGGCCGGUGCAUUCUCGGUGCCCAGCACAGCCGGCCUGUCAUCAGUGCUGCGGGAGGGACAGGAGGGGUACCUGCAGUGAGGCACAGGCCACGCCCCCUGCACGCCGACUGGGUUAAUCCUCUACGGCUCAGGGUCCUGCAGGUGACCAAGGUGGAGCUGGGAUUUGAAGCCGAGCCUCUGACUCCCAAAGCCAGACGGGUCUAGGUUGUUCUGCUCAUUCCAAGCCGGGCCACCGCCUGUAUCAGGUUCUCCUGCAAUGUUGACGUCAGAAGCCUCUUCAUUUACUUGGGGGCCAUUACAUUAGCAGUGAGGAUAACAUUACUAAGGUGCACCAAGGGCGGGCCGUGUUCCCUUAGCCUGGCUUUGUUUAAGCCUCCCAGUAAUCUGGGGAGAAAAAGUAGGAGAAGGACCGGAAUCUUCCAUGCAGUGGGCACCCGCCACCCACCAGUCUCCAUGAAGAUGCCCCAUCACCCCCAGGAUCUCAUUGGAGGCUCACAAAGCGGUUUGUCUGACUACUACUGGAAGCCUGGAAGCACUCACAAUACCAGGGCUUGGAAAGCAGCCGACAGAAUCAUGCAUGUGCAUGUACACACAUGCAUGUGUGUGAGUGUGUGUGCACACAUGAGCACAUAUGUGCAUGUGUCUGUGUGUGUGCAUAUGUGCGUGUAUGUGCGCAGACACCACCAGCCUCCCUUUGCAGGGGUGCAGUACUGGAGGACCGAGAGGGGCCACACAUGCAUGCGGCUGGUGGGGGCUGAGCUGAGCAUUUCUGUCACUUUCUCCUUCUGGUGACUGUUCCCCUCCCCAGAACAGGAGUCUGGCUCCAGGUACAGCUAGGC